UACGAAGGGGGCUAGCGUUGUUCGGAAUUACUGGGCGUAAAGCGCGCGCAGGCGGCUAUCCAAGUCAGUGGUGAAAGCCCGGAGCUCAACUCCGGAACUGCCAUUGAGACUGUUUAGCUUGAGGACGAGAGAGGUGAGUGGAAUUCCCAGUGUAGAGGUGAAAUUCGUAGAUAUUGGGAAGAACACCGGUGGCGAAGGCGGCUCACUGGCUCGUUUCUGACGCUCAGGCGCGACAGCGUGGGGAUCAAACAGG
Molecule: ribosomal RNA, 253 nt
Filed under: uncultured bacterium
Lineage: Bacteria
Description: partial 16S ribosomal RNA
Rfam family: Bacterial small subunit ribosomal RNA
Source: RNAcentral